Molecule: long non-coding RNA, 718 nt
Organism: Cyphomyrmex costatus
Lineage: Eukaryota; Metazoa; Arthropoda; Insecta; Hymenoptera; Formicidae
Exons: 5
Source: RefSeq, a predicted model, not a curated record
AAGCUAUAUAUUUAGGUUUUAAUAUAUAAAUAUUUAAUUAAGCGUUUUUGUAUUUAUUUACCUAUAUCAGCCUGAUUUCAUCCACUGCUGGACAUGGAAGCUACGAUAUUUUCAUCGGCGAAUCCAAACGGCGAUGAAAAUAUAAUUGCACAAAUUUUGAAAAGUAAAGGAUUUAAGACUGCCCACGAUGAAGAUAAGGUUAAACUUUUCAUGAUUCACUUCGACGAACGCAGAAUAUAAAAGAAUGCAGGAAGAUACUCUAUUUGAAUAUCCUCAUGGAAGAUAUUUUCUUUUACGGAAGAUAGAUUAGUUCUACAAGAGGGAUAUGAAGAUGAUUGAAGAAAGUCUAUGAAGAUAAGAAAUUAUUGAGCAAAGUAGCUCCGUUAUUUUUCCGACCGGCCGACCGGCGGCGCGGCAGUGGCGAAGGGGCAUUGACGAUUUGGUAACGUCGUAUAAAACGUUGUUGAAAUGGUUGAGCACAACUGCAGUCGAAGAACGUCCUUAAAUAGUAAGAUCUAAGAAUAUGCUUUAUUUGAUAAAUAUCCUUAUGGAAAAUUUUCUUUUACGGAAUAUAUUAUAUUAGUGCUAUAAACGGGGUACGAAGGUGAUUGAAAAAAGCUUACAAUGAAGAUGAGGAUAAAUCUCUUACAGUUGAUCAAGAAAAACACACACACGCACGCACGCACGCACGCACGCACGCACGCACGCACGCGCGCGC